CUCGACUGCAUGAAGCUGGAAUCGCUAGUAAUCGCGGAUCAGAAUGCCGCGGUGAAUACGUUCCCGGGUCUUGUACACACCGCCCGUCACACCAUGGGAGUCGGAUAUGCCCGAAGUCAGUGACCCAACCGCAAGGAGGGAGCUGCCGAAGGUGGAGCCGAUGACUGGGGUGAAGUCGUAACAAGGUAGC
This 190-nucleotide ribosomal RNA is filed under the name uncultured bacterium. Its description in RNAcentral is "partial 16S ribosomal RNA". It matches the Rfam family "Bacterial small subunit ribosomal RNA", at positions 1311 to 1500 of the family's 1533-position model. The record is from RNAcentral.